AUUGAACGCUGGCGGCAUGCCUUACACAUGCAAGUCGAACGGCAGCACGGGUGCUUGCACCUGGUGGCGAGUGGCGAACGGGUGAGUAAUACAUCGGAACAUGUCCUGUAGUGGGGGAUAGCCCGGCGAAAGCCGGAUUAAUACCGCAUACGAUCUACGGAUGAAAGCGGGGGACCUUCGGGCCUCGCGCUAUAGGGUUGGCCGAUAGCUGAUUAGCUAGUUGGUGGGGUAAAGGCCUACCAAGGCGACGAUCAGUAGCUGGUCUGAGAGGACGACCAGCCACACUGGAACUGAGACACGGCCCAGACUCCUACGGGAGGCAGCAGUGGGGAAUUUUGGACAAUGGGCGAAAGCCUGAUCCAGCAAUGCCGCGUGUGUGAAGAAGGCCUUCGGGUUGUAAAGCACUUUUGUCCGGAAAGAAAUCCUUGGCUCUAAUACAGUCGGGGGAUGACGGUACCGGAAGAAUAAGCACCGGCUAACUACGUG
RNAcentral lists this ribosomal RNA (486 nucleotides) under uncultured bacterium. RNAcentral's name for it is "partial 16S ribosomal RNA". It matches the Rfam family "Bacterial small subunit ribosomal RNA", at positions 30 to 507 of the family's 1533-position model. The record is from RNAcentral.